This is a long non-coding RNA of Vidua macroura (Pin-tailed whydah), 1558 nucleotides long. RefSeq lists it as uncharacterized. The transcript has 3 exons. The record is from RefSeq and is a predicted model, not a curated record. NCBI's taxonomy places the organism in Eukaryota, Metazoa, Chordata, Aves, Passeriformes, Viduidae.
UAUGGAUGUAGAAGACACAGAAACCUCAAGAAUCUUAUCUGUUCUAAAAUGCCCAGACAAAUAUUGCUAUCAGCUUCUUCAGAGCAGCAGGAGUUUUAUUUUAAUUUCUGAUGAAGGUACAUCUUAAGCACAGAAAAUUGCAUGAUAACAAUGGAGUCUGUACUUGUCUCUCACCUCCUUUCUACCCAUCCAGCCAUUUUGAACUGUAGAAGGUCCCAGAUCAUUGGAUGCUUUAAGAAACUCAAAAAAUAAGGUUUUUUCUCUGUUGACUGCUGGAAAAUGAAGCUGGCAGUUUAUGCUUUCUUAUGAUCUGAUAAAAUCUCAUGAAGCUUGUGGGAUGAGCAUGGCUCUAUACCCCUACUUAAUCCCCAGAAAUAAAGAGAAACUGUGAUCACACCUCCAGAUGUGAACCCCUAAGAAUGAAGUUUCUGGACCUGCAUGUAACUGUCCAAGUCUGGGAUGGUGCACAAAGGCUGGACCCACUGUGCUGCACUGUUCUGCUCCUCCAAAGUCCCAUACCCCUUUGCUCAUGCUGUGCCAAAAUUCCUGCAACUGCACUGUAAGCCAUAAAAAGGAACUGACCCAGUAGAAAAUUACCUUGUCUCUUUAAUUAAUUGCCAGUAGAAAAAUACAGUAUCUGGGACAGGGAAAAGGGUGUGAUUUCCUUCUUUUUAGGGACUUUGUCAGGAAACAACAGCUAACCUAUGGAGGCAUGUCUCUGGAGCCACCUGUGUGGGCAAUAGAGAGCGUGAUGACUACCAUCAGCUGCCAUUGGAUGGAGUUUCCCUCUUUUCAUCCCAGCCUCUCAGUUUAAGCAACUGGGUUUGUUACUUGUGUGAUAUGAAUACACACCCAGAGUUACAUGAUUAAUCGCAAUCUCCCCACCUAUCUUUUUUAAACUUCAGUCUGAGCUUUGCCUACAUAUGUCUUGUAACCAUAAUGAUACUUGCUAAAUAAAUGUUAGAAAUAGGGAAAGUGUAUCUCCAAAAAAUAGAGCUUAAAGCCAGAAGAAACCAUUACAAGCUUUGUUUUGUCUUUCUGCAUAAUUCUGCCCACAGAACACUCAGUACUAGCUGUGCCAGGCUAUAACUGCUGUGUGAAGAUAGUAUAUCUUUCUGAAGAUGUCUGUCUUGAUUUAAACACUUCCAAUGUUGAAGGAUUCACUGCACUCCUAGAUGACUCUCAGGCAUCACAGCUGCCUGCAGAUUUCUUAGGACUCUAGUGGAAGAGAACUUGGAAGCUGAUUGCUUGACUCAGAGACAAACAAAUCUAUGAGAUACAAAGAGUUGCUACAGAGACAAGAAUGAGACACUGAGAGACUUUUGGUCUCACAAAAAGAAAUAGCUGAUCAGGGUUUCACAGAGGGCACUGUGAUGUGCCUGUCUGAUAUGCAUGACCUUGUGUUAGAGAUACUUCUGAAAGUGUUUGUGCUGCUAUUUACUGGGUAUCAAAUUAUGUAUAUGUGCUUAUUAAGAGAAUAACAUGUGAGUUUGCCUAUAAUCAUUGUAGCUAAUAUUGUUAUGCCUCAAACAAGAGUAAAUGUAAAUCUUUCUCAAUA